GAUCCUGGCUUAGGACGAACGCUGGCGGCGUGCUUAACACAUGCAAGUCGAACGAUGAAGCUGGUGCUUGCACUGGUGGAUUAGUGGCGAACGGGUGAGUAACACGUGAGUAACCUGCCCCUGACUCUGGGAUAACUGCUGGAAACGGUAGCUAAUACUGGAUAUGAACCGUACGGGCAUCUGUUGCGGUUGGAAAGAUUUUUCGGCUGGGGAUGGGCUCGCGGCCUAUCAGUUUGUUGGUGGGGUAGUGGCCUACCCAAGACGACGACGGGUAGCCGGCCUGAGAGGGUGACCGGCCACAUUGGGACUGAGACACGGCCCAGACUCCUACGGGAGGCAGCAGUGGGGAAUAUUGCACAAUGGGGGAAACCCUGAUGCAGCAACGCCGCGUGAGGGAUGACGGCCUUCGGGUUGUAAACCUCUUUUGGCAGGGAAGAAGCGAGAGUGACGGUACCUGCAGAAAAAGCGCCGGCUAACUACGUGCCAGCAGCGGC
RNAcentral lists this ribosomal RNA (494 nucleotides) under uncultured bacterium. RNAcentral's name for it is "bacterial SSU rRNA". It matches the Rfam family "Bacterial small subunit ribosomal RNA", at positions 15 to 518 of the family's 1533-position model. The record is from RNAcentral.